Molecule: ribosomal RNA, 111 nt
Filed under: Acanthosepion pharaonis
Lineage: Eukaryota; Metazoa; Mollusca; Cephalopoda; Sepiida; Sepiidae
Source: RNAcentral
AUGGCCACAUCAUGUUGAAACACUGGUUCCCAUACGAUCACUGAAGUUAAGCAACAUCAAGCCUAGUUAGUACCUAGAUGGGUGACCAUUUGGGAAUACCAAAUGCUGUAA